GGCGGCUGGCAGGAGGAGGGGCGGCGGCCAGGCAGCUGGCAAGAGGAGGGGCGGCGGUUCAGGUGGCGCUCAGACUGACAGCAGGCCCACCUGAUGAAGAUCCCUGCAGCGUCUGACGUAGAGCCGGACCUCUGGCUCUGAAGGGUUUCCUGAUGAACAUCCUGCCCUUCCAGAAAUAUAAUCUGCUGUUGGAUGAAUUUCCUGAGUAAAUAAAGGCUGAUUUUGCUUUAUGAA
Molecule: long non-coding RNA, 234 nt
Organism: Cyprinodon variegatus (sheepshead minnow)
Lineage: Eukaryota; Metazoa; Chordata; Actinopteri; Cyprinodontiformes; Cyprinodontidae
Exons: 2
Source: RefSeq, a predicted model, not a curated record